GCGCUCUUAGUUCAGUUCGGUAGAACAUUUUUUUUCGAAAACCCAAUGUCGAAGGUUCAAAUCCUACAGAGCGUG
This 75-nucleotide transfer RNA is filed under the name Ricinus communis (castor bean). It matches the Rfam family "tRNA". From Rfam's summary of the family: Transfer RNA (tRNA) molecules are approximately 80 nucleotides in length. Their secondary structure includes four short double-helical elements and three loops (D, anti-codon, and T loops). The record is from Rfam by way of RNAcentral. Lineage: Eukaryota; Viridiplantae; Streptophyta; Magnoliopsida; Malpighiales; Euphorbiaceae.